UGGGGAAUAUUGGACAAUGGGGGGAACCCUGAUCCAGCGAUGCCGCGUGAGUGAAGAAGGCCUUCGGGUCGUAAAGCUCUUUAGGUUGGGAAGAAGUGCAGUGGUUUAAGAGACGACUGUAUUGACGGUACCGACAGAAUAAGCACCGGCAAGCUCUGUGCCGGCAGCCGCGGUAAUACAGAGGGUGCGAGCGUUAAUCGGAAUUACUGGGCGUAAAGGGCGCGUAGGCGGUGCUAUGAGUGUGAUGUGAAAGCCCCGGGCUUAACCUGGGAAGUGCAUCGCAAACGAUAGAACUGGAGUAGAUGAGAGGGUGGCGGAAUUUCCGGUGUAGCGGUGAAAUGCGUAGAGAUCGGAAGGAACGUCAAUGGCGAAGGCAGCCACCUGGCAUCAUACUGACGCUGAGGCGCGAAAGCGUGGGUAGCGAACAGGAUUAGAUACCCUGGUAGUCCACGCUGUAAACGAUGAGGACUAAAUGUUGCUAGGGGAACCUAGCAGUAUUGAAGCUAACGCGAUAAGUCUUCCGCCUGGGAAGUACGGCCGCAAGGUUGA
RNAcentral lists this ribosomal RNA (549 nucleotides) under uncultured Aquicella sp. RNAcentral describes it as "bacterial SSU rRNA". It matches the Rfam family "Bacterial small subunit ribosomal RNA", at positions 355 to 897 of the family's 1533-position model. The record is from RNAcentral. Lineage: Bacteria; Pseudomonadati; Pseudomonadota; Gammaproteobacteria; Legionellales; Coxiellaceae.